Molecule: transfer RNA, 71 nt
Filed under: Pseudoxanthomonas suwonensis
Lineage: Bacteria; Pseudomonadati; Pseudomonadota; Gammaproteobacteria; Lysobacterales; Lysobacteraceae
Description: tRNA-Asn
Rfam family: tRNA
About the family: Transfer RNA (tRNA) molecules are approximately 80 nucleotides in length.
Source: RNAcentral
UGGAUAGCUCAAUCGGUUAGAGCAUCGGACAGUUAAUCCGACUGUUGCGGGUUCGACUCCCGCUCCAACCA